CGAAAUGCGAUACCUAGUGUGAAUUGCAGAAUUCCGCGAAUCAUCGAGUUUUUGAACGCAAGUUGCGCCCGAGGCUCGUACCGAGGGCAUGUCUGUUUGAGCGUCCA
This 107-nucleotide ribosomal RNA is filed under the name Frullania rostrata. RNAcentral describes it as "partial 5.8S ribosomal RNA". It matches the Rfam family "5.8S ribosomal RNA", at positions 49 to 154 of the family's 154-position model. From Rfam's summary of the family: 5.8S ribosomal RNA (5.8S rRNA) is a component of the large subunit of the eukaryotic ribosome. It is transcribed by RNA polymerase I as part of the 45S precursor that also contains 18S and 28S rRNA. The record is from RNAcentral. Lineage: Eukaryota; Viridiplantae; Streptophyta; Jungermanniopsida; Porellales; Frullaniaceae.